This 497-nucleotide ribosomal RNA is filed under the name uncultured bacterium. RNAcentral's name for it is "partial 16S ribosomal RNA". It matches the Rfam family "Bacterial small subunit ribosomal RNA", at positions 28 to 507 of the family's 1533-position model. The record is from RNAcentral.
GAUGAACGCUGGCGGCGUGCCUAAUACAUGCAAGUCGAGCGAACAGACGAGGAGCUUGCUCCUCUGACGUUAGCGGCGGACGGGUGAGUAACACGUGGAUAACCUACCUAUAAGACUGGGAUAACUUCGGGAAACCGGAGCUAAUACCGGAUAAUAUAUUGCACCGCAUGGUUCAAUAGUGAAAGACGGUUUUGCUGUCACUUAUAGAUGGAUCCGCGCCGCAUUAGCUAGUUGGUAAGGUAACGGCUUACCAAGGCAACGAUGCGUAGCCGACCUGAGAGGGGGAUCGGCCACACGGGAACGGAGACACGGUCCAGAGGACUAAGGGAGGCAGCAGUAGGGAAUGGUACGCAAUGGGCGAAAGCAUGACGGAGCAACGCCGCGUGAGUGAUGAAGGUCUUCGGAUCGGAAAAAUCUGUUAUUAGGGAAGAACAAAUGUGUAAGUAACUAUGCACGUCUUGACGGUACCUAAUCAGAAAGCCACGGCUAACUACGUG